AGCAGCAUGGCGCAGCUGGAAGCGCGCGGGGCCCAUAUCGUCGGUUAUUACGUAAUCACGGGGAACCCCGAGGUCACUCGAUCGAAACGAGUUGCUGCUA
Mycena albidolilacea is the source of this 100-nucleotide non-coding RNA. Lineage: Eukaryota; Fungi; Basidiomycota; Agaricomycetes; Agaricales; Mycenaceae. The record is from the annotation of a GenBank genome assembly.